Mus musculus (house mouse) is the source of this 2741-nucleotide long non-coding RNA. RefSeq annotates it as predicted gene, 46655. Lineage: Eukaryota; Metazoa; Chordata; Mammalia; Rodentia; Muridae. The record is from RefSeq and is a predicted model, not a curated record. The transcript is spliced from 3 exons.
GGCCUCGAAUUCAGAAAUCCGCCUGCCUCAGCCUCCCAAGUGCUGGGAUUAAAGGCGUGCGCCACCACCGCCCAGUGGUUCCAGUUUCUUAAGAGGGUGUUGUACAUAGGUCACUUACAUGCCUAAUCAAAGUCACAUACAACUGUGUACACUUCUUUUUUUUUGCCAUAGGCAUAGAAGUUUAAUCCAUUUCUCAUACAAGGAGGCAACAGCAAGUAGUAGAAGGGUGAUCAUGUAUUGUGGCUUCAAGGGACCUCAUGCACAAGGCAGCAGAUGACCGGCCCUAGAACCUGCCCACCCACCCCCACAAGCUACUACAGUGGCUCCGGUGAAUUGAGUCCUGAAAAGAUACUUCCCAGCAAAUGCACCCAUAGUGAGGAAAGUAAGGGGUUCUCCUGCCCACUCUCAACCAGAUAGAGCAGUGCAAGGUGGUGAAGCCUCUGGAAGAACAGUUUUAUAUCGUUUCUAUGACAACACACUUCCUUUGGGCAGUACUUAAUGCAGAUUCUGCUCUCGAGGAGCAAGGCUCCUGUAGUGGGUCUUCCUCACUCUGCUGCUGUAGUGGAGUGGACACUGGGCCCUCUGCAGGGCCAGCAGCUCAGUCGUCAGCCUAGCAGACAUAUCCACACUGACCAAGUACAAGGUUUACUUGCUAAAAAGGAAGGCUUAGCUAGUUUCAGUUCCUCAUGAAGUGUUAUUUCCUGUUGAAAAGCAAAGAACUAAGCCAACCCUCUAUAAAAUUGCCAGUCCUUAACCGAGGCCUCAGUUACGGGAUAAAGGUCUCUCUCUCUCUCUUCAGUGCUCCUCUCCAGGGGUUCUGGGUUCUACUUGACACCCACAGGCUUCCACAGAUGGCUAAGAAGCAUGGCCUAUAUGGAUCAACCACCCACAUACUCAGUACAGUCAAGGGCAAAGGACAGAAAGUUGUGAGCAUGAAGCCUGAAGCAAAGGUUCCACCCAGCAGGCCAACAAGACCACACACUGGGGCUGGCUGUACCCUACAGCUGGUGACCCAGGUACUAGCAGAACAUAGGAAUACUGGCUUCACCACAGAUCCCUAUUCACACCCCAAACUAAAGGCUUAAGCUCACUCAGCUAUUUGCAGGAGUUCAGGGGCUCAGCUCCACUCCCUCCCUGCUCAGCCUCUGGGGAUGAUGAUGGGCUGAAGCUGUGGGGACCAUCUCUGCCUCUCUGUGCUGUGAACUCUGCAACAAUUCUUCUGUAAGAAACAAGGAGGAUGCCACAUCUCCUUCCUUGUCUAGGUCCUCAAAACCAUUCCCAUGAUCCUCCCUGGACACAUAGCACUUUGGAUAGCAGGGACCAGCAGUUGCUUGCAGUGCCUGAAGACUGGCAAGGGUACAGUCAGCUAAACAAGCCACUAGUCUCACUGUGUGAGUUAAUUAAUUAGUCCUUGGGGAGGUUGGGGAGUGGGGUAGGCAGGUCAGAGGGCUCUAUACCCCAGAUCUCCCGGGUGUAUUCAGUGAUGGUUCGGUCACUGGAGAACUUGCCAGAGCAGCCUAUAUUCCUGAUCACCUUUUUUGUCCACUACUUGGAAUUGCGGUAUAGAUGGUCCACCUGGGCCUGGCAUUGGAUGUAGGCUUCAUAGUCUGCAAGUACCUUGAAUGGUACAUCAGCAUGUUAACCACGUCCUUGAAGCAGUCUGGAUCUUUGGGAGAAAAGAAGCCACUGUUGAUCUGAUGAUCCACAACCUGCCUCAGCUCAGGCAGGCGCUCAUAGAAUUCUCUGGCAUUGUACCCUUUCUGGUCCAGGGCCUCAACAUCUUCUACCCGCAUACCAAAGAUGAAGAGGUUCUCCUCUCUGGCCUCCUCGGCCAUCUCCACAUUGGCACCAUCCAUGGUGCCAAUGGUGAGCGUUCCAUUGAGCAUGACUUUCAUGUUGCCUUCAUGUACACUUCUUACUUGGGGAAAACAUCUUCCUUUUUGUCUCCCCCCCCCAGCAUUACAAAAAUAUAUCUGACUGGCUACUCCUCCAAAGUUUAGCUUUACUAUCUAUGGCCAUUAGAGGGCCCAAUAUGUCUGUAUAGUCAGACACCCUAGCAGAGUGAAUUCUUGAGCGAAAAGAAUGAUGUAAUACUGAGCUUGUGCAUGCAUUUGUGAUCUGCUAGGACAGUUACAUUUGAAUUGACUUUUUUUUGUAUUCCAGCUAGUAUGUAUUUGUUAUUGUUAUACUGUUAUAGACAACUUAGAUAUCUUAAAGGGGUCUCUCUUCUCUUUCUCAGUGUGUAUCCCGGUCUGGCUCACUCGCACUUUGGAUUCUGCACCCUCCUGUUUAUUGGGAUUACAGAUUUGAAAUGAUAUGAAAAACAAAACAAAACAACCCAAACCAUCCUUUUGUCACAUGGGACAGAAGAUACUCCGUCUCAGUAUUGGGUGAAGUUGGCUGUGAUGUGCUCAUGAUUGAAGGGGAUAUAGUAAGCAACCCCUGGAAAAAGGCAGAGGAUAACACAUGUCACAGUGCACAUAAACUUUCCACGCCAAACAUCAGCUCAUUAACCUUGUUAGAUGGGUAAGGUCACCACAGCGAGAAGUGGGCAGAAAGAACCAGACCCAGAAACAAUGCAUGUGUAUCAUUUUCGGAGAGCAGCAAAUACCUAAGAUGACAGCAGCGUCCUCAAAUCUACUGGGAAAGUUUGAAAGCGUCUAUUUAUGGAAAUUGCCUGGUAAACACUGGUGUUCAUAGGACUGUUAAAUACUUCUGUAAAGUAUCCCAUUCCUUCCCCA